Molecule: non-coding RNA, 2158 nt
Organism: Paramuricea clavata
Lineage: Eukaryota; Metazoa; Cnidaria; Anthozoa; Malacalcyonacea; Plexauridae
Source: the annotation of a GenBank genome assembly
CGAUCUCACCCCCGGCGUCCGUUUCUCUCAUCACCUAAUAAAACUUAAUGGCGAGGCUAAAGAGGAUUUAAACGUUUGGUUAUCUUUCCUGUCAACAUUUAAUGGCCGAUCAUUCUUUCUUGAUGACAGAUGGCAAAAUUCCUCUAAACUUAAUUUGUUCACGGACACCACGGGUGGCAUCGGUUUUGGUGCAAUUUUUGGCACGGAAUUCUGCCACGGUUUCUGGCCCGAUCACUGGCGCCACCGUAACAUUGCCAUUUUGGAAUUCUACCCCAUUGUACUGAGUCUGGGGUAGAAUAUUUAUGGGGUCAUAAGAUAGCGAAUCAUAGCAUUUUAUUUUUUACUGAUAAUGAAGCACUCGUUCAUGUCAUUAAUAAGCAAUCAUGCAAGGACAAGACAUUGAUGUUUUUUGUUCGCAAGCUUGUUCUUGUUUGUUUAAACCACAAUAUUUUAUUUAAAGCCAAACACAUUCCUGGGACGUACAAUCGCCUGGCUGAUCUUUUGUCUCGAUUUCAGGUUCAAACCUUCAAACGCGAAGCACCAGCCUCGAUGAAUUCCUGUGCAGCGGACAUUCCGCGGCAUCUGUUGCCAGCGAAUUGGGAAAUAUCGUUUCCCACUUGACACAAUCGAGCCUCCAGCCAUCCUCAAUUCCGACUUACCGACGCGCUUGGAAACUUUUUGACCAAUUUCAUUCUCAUGUGUUUCAAACAUUUUCAUAUAAAUUACCAAUUUCGCCUCCUACAUUAGCACUUUUUAUCGCCUACAUGUUUGACCGGCGCUACGCCCCCUCUACUGUCAACACCUACGGCUCUCGGCUAUUCCCACAAAUUAAUGGGAUUGAUGGAUCCCACUAAAAUAUUUUACAUUGUGCAAAUGUUGAAAGGCUAUGGCAAACAGGGUUUUCGUUUGGACGCUAGGUUGCCUAUUACGCUAACGAUUUUAAAUCGAUUAGUAAUGGCUGUGCCACACUGUGUCGCUACGUACUACGACCAGUGCCAAUUUUGUGCGAUGUGUGCUCUAGCAUUCUUUGCAUUUUUGCGCGUGGGUGAGAUCACCGCAACAUCACAGCCGGGCAAUUGCCCUAUACAGGUAAACCAGCUCACCAAACUCUCAAGAGAUGGUGAAGUGAUUGGUUACAAAUUAAUAUUUGCUGAUUACAAGCAUAACUACAAUCAGCGACCAUUUACUAUGGUCAUCAACUGGCAAACAAGCGCUUGCCCUGUACAAUUAUUAUCAACAUAUUUAAAUCAUCGUGGCUGUAGUCCGGGUCCAGUGUUUUUGACAGUGGAGGGCGUCGCGGUGCCGAGAAAAGUUUUUACCGCUAACCUUGUUGCUUGCCUCAAAUACCGUGACCUAAGUCCGUCGCAUUACAAAUCACAUUCGUUUCGAAUCGGUGCAGCAUCUUUCGCUGCUGAGAAUGGUUUGUCCGAUGCACAGAUUCGUCUUCUAGGUCAGUGGAAAACUAAUGCAUUUCAAAAGUAUAUUCGAGUUUCAUCUCUUUCAACGACUGCUUCAUUAUCUGAGUAACACAAUCCUUCCAAACCGGGCGACAAUGUCGCGGGGGUGUUGUCGCUUGGUCUGUGGCAUCGUAUAUUUGGUGGUCCAGAGGGCCUGUCUAGCAGGGGCGGACAUCUCUUCUUGAUCACCAGAUAUAUUAAUGUUCAUUAGUAAGUAUUCACUUAAAUUAAACUGUUAUUUCUGACUAUUUUAUUCCUUUCUGUGUGUGAACAACAGUUAGCAGGGGCGACUGUUAAAUGUUUAGUGGUUGUGUUAACAACAGUCAGCAGGGGCGACUGUUAGAUGUUUAGUAUUGAAGGGCUCUAUUUACAACAUGCUACUACUCAUAGUGGUUUCGCAGAGGCGACUGCUUUCGAUCGGCCUACACUACAGUUAACAGGGGUUACUGCGGUGUACUUUGACUCGCUAUAAAACAUUAUGAUAAUUAAAUGCUCUUUGCUAGUGGUGUUGCGUUUUCCUCGGGUGGGGAGACUCCGCGAUUUACGGUCGACUGACUUCAAUUGCGUAGUCUUUGGCGUGUAGUCCUGCCACCUUUACUGGCAAUGAACAUUAACAGACUCAAGUUAUUAACUCAAAUUAUCAAUUUUAAUGAUUUUAUGAUAUUUCUAAUUAAAUGACGAGAUUUUAAAUAAAGCGGCUG